This 75-nucleotide transfer RNA is filed under the name Actinoplanes sp. SE50/110. RNAcentral describes it as "tRNA-Arg (ACG) (tRNA-Arg-ACG-2-1)". It matches the Rfam family "tRNA". Rfam says of the family: Transfer RNA (tRNA) molecules are approximately 80 nucleotides in length. Their secondary structure includes four short double-helical elements and three loops (D, anti-codon, and T loops). The record is from Rfam by way of RNAcentral. Lineage: Bacteria; Bacillati; Actinomycetota; Actinomycetes; Micromonosporales; Micromonosporaceae. RNAcentral also lists the same sequence under 1 other name.
GCCCGCGUAGCUCAGCGGAAAGAGCGCCGGCCUACGAAGCCGGGACAUGCGCAGGUUCGAAUCCUGCAGCGGGCA